CUCAAAUUCUUUGACAGUUCUUUCCUCAAAAGCGGAGCCUAAUUCCCCUCUCAUUGAGUGUCGGUUGGACUUGGUGGCACUUUUAAUGAGUAGAACGUGGCAGAAUGAUGGUUUGUGACUUCAGAGCUGAGGACAUAGAAAAUAUUGUGGCUUCCUCCCUGUUCUCUUUCUUGGACCACUUGUUCUGGGGAAGCCAUGUCAUGAGGAUGCUUAAAUGACCUUGUGAAGAGAUCCAUGUGGUGAGGAGCUGAGGCCUCUUGCCAACAUCCACGUGAGCGUGCCAUCUUGGAAGUGGAUUCUUCAGCCCCAAUCAAACCUUCAGAUGCAGGUGCAGUCAACAUCCUGACUGCAACCUCAUGAGAGACCCUGAGCCAAAACCAUGCAGCUCAGCAGAAAAAGGCUUUGCUGGAUACGGCAAGGACAAAUAUGUACCAUGAUAGAGGAGAGUUUUCAGUUUUGUUGGGGAAAGAGAUUGCGUAUCAACCCAUGGAUGUACACACUCCGCCUCUUCAGAGAGAACUUCACAAGCCUCACUCCUGAGAUUUCCUCAAAGGCUGCAUGGCCUGUUGAACUCUUUGCCUCUGGAUUCUGCAGUUGGUGGUAAAGUACUGAAACAUGCAGGCCUCAGGGCUUCCCUUUAUCUGUGAAACUGCAGAAGAGGCUGGCUUAGGCGAACUCAGGUGUGGAAGCUGCUGAGGGAGCCAGAAACCUCGGCGUAGACUUUUUCUUUGUGAGUAGAGAAGACUGGCUCCUAAAGGGGAUCAACUGAUAUUUCUAAACUCCCAGGGAGUGGAGCUUCCACGAGGCAUCGCGAUUCAUUGGCCAGAAGUAUCUGCUCCAGCUGCCAGGCCACAGUUAUCAGUCCAGAAAUAGUUCUGAAAAUGAGGCCAGAACCCACGUUAAUGAAGCCUGAUUGCCUCAGAAUUAUUGUAUGAUGAAUUAGCAGCUUUGCCAGUAGCCCACGUGUGCGGGGUCAGUGACAAUUUAUGGUGAGUCACAUUUAAGUAGUUUCAUUCAAUUCAACCAGCAUUUACUGCAUCUACUAAGCACAGAGCCCUGGGCAGGCCCAGUGCAAGCAAAGGGACUGAAUUGAACAUCAAAUGACAGGGGUUCUAGGCCUACCUCUGCCAUAACGUUCUGGACAGGGAGAAGGGAGAGCGACAAGGAUUGCCACAGAAAAGGCUUAGGGAAGCAAAGCUUCACAAUGGCUGGCUUACCAACGCCAAGGAAAGCAAAAUGAAUUUCAGACCAACACUAGUCAAAAUUGAUAUCUAGAUGUCUAUAUGAGUCAGUAUCCUUUGGUUGCAAUUGACAGAAACCCAACUCUAACUAGUUUAACCAUGAACUACAAAGACAAAAACAAUGACAAACAAAAAAGAAAAUGUAAAGAAUUAUUUAACUGCAACAUUCAAUGGGUUGUCUAACAUCAGGAAUGGCUGGAUCCAGGUACUCAAAUGAUGGCCUUUGUCUUUGUUUUCUUCUAUAUCUGGUUUAUUCUUAGGCAUUCUUAUCAUCAUAGAUUGGGUUCCCCUACUCACCUACCACCACCCAAAGCAGUCUCCAGUGCAGGUAGUUUAUUUAGGAGAUGUGGCAACCAUGAAAAUGCACCACUCAGAUCUUAUGCUGCAGGAAGCAUCAUUGACUGACAGCCCUGCCAUUACCCUUCUGGAUGCACCACCAUGUUCAUGUGAAAGCCCCACUUCCCAUGGGCUGCUCCCAGUGAAUGACUGAGCACGGCGAGGCCAUUAAGGCAAGCCCAUUCCUGGACGAUGCAGGACUCCUCUGACACGUGGCUUUGAGUUGAGAAUCCCUCAUUGGCCUGGCCAUACUUGUCUUGGAACAGUGCUACGGUCUGUGAGUUUUCCUGACCAAUUAACCCUGCUUCCCUCUCCCCUUUACAGGAUGAGACCUAUCUGCUGCAGCUUCUCCUCUUUUGCCUUCACAAAUGUUUCUCCCAAUAAAGCUCUUGCACGUCUAAUCUCAUCUUGGCACCUUCUUCUCAGAGGCACCAAAUCAACACAGGAGGUAAUCUCAGGAAGCAUAAGGGAGAAAAUGGGGAAGGUGAGACAGAUAAGGGAGAAAAGUCAAUAGAAGGUGCACUAAUGAGCAGGUGACUGUUGUGGGCAAGUCAUCCUGGGGUUUUCUUAGAGACCAUGUGGGUCAUGCUCAGGAUCAUCCCACCAGAAGGCAGGGACCCUAUGGCACUUAUCUACUGUUUUCCAUUUCCCACUGGCAGAAGGUUUUCCAAGUGUAUCAGCUCUCUCACACUUCAGAGUUGCAGAGAAGUGUUCUGGGGCACCAACAAAAGACCAGGCAGAGAAGAAGGGAGAUAUAGAUGCCUGAGGUUGGAAACAGCCUAUUAUGGCUGUAGGUAAACUCAGGUGGGCCCGGGGAAUAUGGUGCAGGGCGUCAACAGCAUCUACUACAGUCAUGGUGGGAAAAAAGUAAUAAAGCACUACUGGUGGCUUACAAUAUCCCUAAAGAUAGCAAUUCCAGAGAAUGUUUCUCUCCCGAGAAUUUCCUGGGAGUGCCUCAGAUUGGCCAAACUCAUGUCACAUGGCCAUCGCUAAGCCAAUCACUGUGCCUGUGGAAAUGGAGUGUCCUGUCACACUGGGGUGUAUGAUCCAGCUGCCUCUCCAACUCACAUCUACUGAGAAUGGAGCAGGGAUGGCUCCCUGAAUGAUGUGCUGAGCAGAUGAAAAUCUUAUCACCACUACUGGAUACGGUCUUAAAGCUUGAAGAUGGAGGAAGAUUCCUGAUGGCAGAACUUUUCAGCAUCCGGUCAGGAGGUGCACACAGCUAAUGCCUAGAGACCUCAGUAUGACAUGGAUUCUCGGGAGCUAAGUUCACCCUAUAGCACACUGGAUACAAUUACCAGAUGUCACUUACUGGUGGGGAAGCAGCCCUUUGCUACCUCCAUGCUGAGCUUUCAUUAGCAGAGCCUUCGUUGGCUGGGUCCUCAGCGACUCAGGACAUGGGGAGCUGGAAUGUGGAAAUGGCAUCUUCUCAUUCCUAGACUCAUUGUCAGCCCUAGAGAAUGGCUGGCAAUCUCAAGGAUGCUGUUCUCCAGCUGCUUUCCACACUUUUCUUCAGCCACGGGCACAGGCCAUAUUUGUGUUUGGUUUGGGAGGUGGCCUCUGCCCCAGUGCCCUGUGGUGAGGAAACAGGAGAAGUGUACAAUUAACAAUUAACAGCUUUAUCUCUACUCAUAUGUAAGAGACGUAAUUAGCUGGCUCCAUCUGUUACUGAUACCUGCUGGAGUCAGCCAUUCACACUUCAGCCAGAUAUUACAGUGAGUGGGAGGGCCUGAAAAGGAAACAUUUCAAAAUAACUCACCUUUCCUUGUUUCAGACAUCCUACCCCCGUUCAGUCGGUCUCCAACUUUGCUUUCCUCAGGUGUACACAAUUUGCUGUCAGUUGGCAAGGAAGGGUGUUAGCUAACGAAUAUGGAAGCCAAUGGUGUGCAUGAUUUUCCCAGAAGCUGAGCUUUGAUUUAAAGAGAGAAGACUUCGUGUCUCUUGUGGCAGUAGUGGGGCACUGUCCCAGCUAGGGCCACAUCGCAGUACGCUGAUUGGUCUCAGUACUGAGAUGAAAUAUUUUCAGAGGGAAAGGCUAAAUUUGGAAGGACCAGCUGGAGCCUCUAGAGUAAGUCACUGGCCCAAGAUCAAUGUUACAAAGGUAGGAAGGAGAUGAGCUGAGACUUGCCUCUAAGCCUAUCCAACUCCAAAGUCCAUUUUCUAAAUCAUGACACAUCACUGAUGUUGGGGGAAGUUUUACGGACAUGAUGGUCUCAUGGGACUUAAGAAAGUCCAAGACCACUUUUAUUUUUGGAAGUCAAAACAGCCAUGCAAAGAUGAGGCAUUUAAAAAGAAAUAUUUCCACCUAGGUAAUUAAUGCUUUUAAUGUAAAAAGGUACAAUGCAAUAUAGUUGGGUUAUUCACAAGAUAAUUACAGGACUCAUAAAAUAUUAAUUCACAGCACAGUAUAAGUGGCAGAGCCUGAAUGGGG
Molecule: long non-coding RNA, 4008 nt
Filed under: Equus caballus (horse)
Lineage: Eukaryota; Metazoa; Chordata; Mammalia; Perissodactyla; Equidae
Description: lncRNA (ENSECAG00000060260.1)
Source: RNAcentral